GGAGUCUGGGCCGUGUCUCAGUCCCAAUGUGGCCGUUCAACCUCUCAGUCCGGCUACCGAUCGUCGCCUUGGUGGGCCAUUACCCCGCCAACAAGCUAAUCGGACGCGAGUCCAUCUCUCAGCGAUAAAUCUUUGAUAUUCCUGUCAUGCGGCAAGAAUAUAUUAUGCGGUAUUAGCGCUCUUUUCAGGGCGUUAUUCCCCACUGAGAGGCAGGUUACUCACGCGUUACUCACCCGUCCGCCACUAAGUAUUAACAAGCUUCGACCGAAAUCUCUGCAGCGUUAAUACUCCGUUCGACUUGCAUGUGUUAAGCACGCCGCCAGCGUUCAUC
RNAcentral lists this ribosomal RNA (331 nucleotides) under uncultured Ruminococcus sp. RNAcentral describes it as "partial 16S ribosomal RNA". The record is from RNAcentral. Lineage: Bacteria; Bacillati; Bacillota; Clostridia; Eubacteriales; Oscillospiraceae.